Molecule: ribosomal RNA, 301 nt
Filed under: uncultured bacterium
Lineage: Bacteria
Description: partial 16S ribosomal RNA
Rfam family: Bacterial small subunit ribosomal RNA
Source: RNAcentral
CAGUAGCCGCGGUAAUACGGAGGGUGCAAGCGUUAAUCGGAAUUACUGGGCGUAAAGCGCACGCAGGCGGUCUGACAAGUCAGAUGUGAAAUCCCCGGGCUUAACCUGGGAACUGCAUUUGAAACUGUCAGGCUGGAGUCUUGUAGAGGGGGGUGGAAUUCCAGGUGUAGCGGUGAAAUGCGUAGAGAUCUGGAGGAAUACCGGUGGCGAAGGCGGCCCCCUGGACAAAGACUGACGCUCAGGUGCGAAAGCGUGGGGAGCAAACAGGAUUAGAUACCCCUGUAGUCCCUGUCUCUUAUCC